This 491-nucleotide ribosomal RNA is filed under the name uncultured bacterium. Its description in RNAcentral is "partial 16S ribosomal RNA". It matches the Rfam family "Bacterial small subunit ribosomal RNA", at positions 29 to 506 of the family's 1533-position model. The record is from RNAcentral.
AUUGAACGCUGGCGGCAUGCUUUACACAUGCAAGUCGAACGGUAACAGGCCUUCGGGUGCUGACGAGUGGCGAACGGGUGAGUAAUGCAUCGGAACGUACCCAGAGGUGGGGGAUAACGCAGCGAAAGCUGUGCUAAUACCGCAUGUGAUCUGAGGAUGAAAGCGGGGGACCGAGCAGCAAUGUUUGGCCUCGCGCCUUUGGAGCGGCCGAUGUCGGAUUAGCUAGUUGGUGGGGUAAAGGCCUACCGAGGCGACGAUCCGUAGCUGGUCUGAGAGGACGACCAGCCACACUGGGCCUGAGACACGGCCCAGACUCCUACGGGAGGCAGCAGUGGGGAAUUUUGGACAAUGGGCGCAAGCCUGAUCCAGCAAUGCCGCGUGCGGGAAGAAGGCCUUCGGGUUGUAAACCGCUUUUGGCAGGAACGAAACGGUGUCCGCUAAUACCGGGCGCUAAUGACGGUACCUGCAGAAUAAGCACCGGCUAACUACGU